ACGGGGCGCAGCAGGCGCGAAACCUCCGCAAUGCACGCAAGUGCGACGGGGGGACCCCAAGUGCCACUCUUAACGGGGUGGCUUUUCAGGAGUGUAAAAAGCUCCUGGAAUAAGGGCUGGGCAAGACCGGUGCCAGCCGCCGCGGUAACACCGGCAGCUCGGGUGGUAGCCGCGUUUAUUGGGCCUAAAGCGUCCGUAGCCGGUCCGAUAAGUCUCUGGUGAAAGCCCACAGCUCAACUGUGGGAAUCGCUGGAGAUACUAUCGGACUUGAGGCCGGGAGAGGCUGGAGGUACUCCCAGGGUAGGGGUGAAAUCCUAUAAUCCUGGGAGGACCACCUGUGGCGAAGGCGUCCAGCUGGAACGGACCUGACGGUGAGGGACGAAAGCCAGGGGCGCGAACCGGAUUAGAUACCCGGGUAGUCCUGGCCGUAAACGGUGCGGACUUGGUGUUGGGACGGCUUUGAGCUGUCCCAGUGCCGAAGGGAAGCUGUUAAGUCCGCCGCCUGGGAAGUACGGCCGCAAGGCUGAAACUUAAAGGAAUUGGCGGGGGAG
Molecule: ribosomal RNA, 551 nt
Filed under: uncultured archaeon
Lineage: Archaea
Description: bacterial SSU rRNA
Rfam family: Archaeal small subunit ribosomal RNA
Source: RNAcentral